This 1241-nucleotide ribosomal RNA is filed under the name Escherichia coli. Its description in RNAcentral is "partial 23S ribosomal RNA". It matches the Rfam family "Bacterial large subunit ribosomal RNA", at positions 1 to 1273 of the family's 2925-position model. Lineage: Bacteria; Pseudomonadati; Pseudomonadota; Gammaproteobacteria; Enterobacterales; Enterobacteriaceae. The record is from RNAcentral.
GGGUUGUGAGGUUAAGCGACUAAGCGUACACGGUGGAUGCCCUGGCAGUCAGAGGCGAUGAAGGACGUGCUAAUCUGCGAUAAGCGUCGGUGAGGUGAUAUGAACCGUUAUAACCGGCGAUUUCCGAAUGGGGAAACCCAGUGUGUUUCGACACACUAUCAUUAACUGAAUCCAUAGGUUAAUGAGGCGAACCGGGGGAACUGAAACAUCUAAGUACCCCGAGGAAAAGAAAUCAACCGAGAUUCCCCCAGUAGCGGCGAGCGAACGGGGAGCAGCCCAGAGCCUGAAUCAGUGUGUGUGUUAGUGGAAGCGUCUGGAAAGGCGCGCGAUACAGGGUGACAGCCCCGUACACAAAAAUGCACAUGCUGUGAGCUCGAUGAGUAGGGCGGGACACGUGGUAUCCUGUCUGAAUAUGGGGGGACCAUCCUCCAAGGCUAAAUACUCCUGACUGACCGAUAGUGAACCAGUACCGUGAGGGAAAGGCGAAAAGAACCCCGGCGAGGGGAGUGAAAAAGAACCUGAAACCGUGUACGUACAAGCAGUGGGAGCCUCUUUAUGGGGUGACUGCGUACCUUUUGUAUAAUGGGUCAGCGACUUAUAUUCUGUAGCAAGGUUAACCGAAUAGGGGAGCCGAAGGGAAACCGAGUCUUAACUGGGCGUUAAGUUGCAGGGUAUAGACCCGAAACCCGGUGAUCUAGCCAUGGGCAGGUUGAAGGUUGGGUAACACUAACUGGAGGACCGAACCGACUAAUGUUGAAAAAUUAGCGGAUGACUUGUGGCUGGGGGUGAAAGGCCAAUCAAACCGGGAGAUAGCUGGUUCUCCCCGAAAGCUAUUUAGGUAGCGCCUCGUGAAUUCAUCUCCGGGGGUAGAGCACUGUUUCGGCAAGGGGGUCAUCCCGACUUACCAACCCGAUGCAAACUGCGAAUACCGGAGAAUGUUAUCACGGGAGACACACGGCGGGUGCUAACGUCCGUCGUGAAGAGGGAAACAACCCAGACCGCCAGCUAAGGUCCCAAAGUCAUGGUUAAGUGGGAAACGAUGUGGGAAGGCCCAGACAGCCAGGAUGUUGGCUUAGAAGCAGCCAUCAUUUAAAGAAAGCGUAAUAGCUCACUGGUCGAGUCGGCCUGCGCGGAAGAUGUAACGGGGCUAAACCAUGCACCGAAGCUGCGGCAGCGACGCUUAUGCGUUGUUGGGUAGGGGAGCGUUCUGUAAGCCUGCGAAGGUGUGCUGUGAGGUAUGC